Molecule: non-coding RNA, 137 nt
Organism: Caerostris darwini
Lineage: Eukaryota; Metazoa; Arthropoda; Arachnida; Araneae; Araneidae
Source: the annotation of a GenBank genome assembly
ACGGCCGUACCAUACUGAAUAUACCGGAUAGUUAAUGUUAUAUAUAAUAAUUAUACCGUUAGAUCACCGAAGUUAAGCAUCAUUGGGCGCGGUCAGUACUUGGGUGGGUGACCACCUGGGAACACUGCGUGCCGUUG